AUACGGAAGGUCCAAGCGUUAUCCGGAUUCAUUGGGUUUAAAGGGUCCGCAGGCGGGAAAAUAAGUCAGUGGUGAAAGCCUACAGCUCAACUGUAGAACUGCCAUUGAUACUGUUUUUCUUGAGUAUAGAUGAAGUGGGCGGAAUAUAUCAUGUAGCGGUGAAAUGCAUAGAUAUGAUAUAGAACACCGAUUGCGAAGGCAGCUCACUAAACUAUUACUGACGCUCAGGGACGAAAGCGUGGGGAGCGAACAGGAUUAGAAACCCCAGUAGUCC
Molecule: ribosomal RNA, 274 nt
Filed under: uncultured bacterium
Lineage: Bacteria
Description: partial 16S ribosomal RNA
Rfam family: Bacterial small subunit ribosomal RNA
Source: RNAcentral